UACGAAGGGGGCUAGCGUUGCUCGGAAUCACUGGGCGUAAAGGGUGCGUAGGCGGGUCUUUAAGUCAGGGGUGAAAUCCUGGAGCUCAACUCCAGAACUGCCUUUGAUACUGAGGAUCUUGAGUUCGGGAGAGGUGAGUGGAACUGCGAGUGUAGAGGUGAAAUUCGUAGAUAUUCGCAAGAGCACCAGUGGCGAAGGCGGCUCACUGGCCCGAUACUGACGCUGAGGUGCGAAAGCGUGGGGAGCAAACAGG
This 253-nucleotide ribosomal RNA is filed under the name uncultured bacterium. Its description in RNAcentral is "partial 16S ribosomal RNA". It matches the Rfam family "Bacterial small subunit ribosomal RNA", at positions 524 to 776 of the family's 1533-position model. The record is from RNAcentral.